CUCCAGGUCCCAUGGUGGCGCCCCGGCGA
This 29-nucleotide small RNA is filed under the name Bombyx mori (domestic silkworm). Its description in RNAcentral is "ovarian small RNA-14673". Lineage: Eukaryota; Metazoa; Arthropoda; Insecta; Lepidoptera; Bombycidae. The record is from RNAcentral.